This 253-nucleotide ribosomal RNA is filed under the name uncultured bacterium. Its description in RNAcentral is "partial 16S ribosomal RNA". It matches the Rfam family "Bacterial small subunit ribosomal RNA", at positions 524 to 776 of the family's 1533-position model. The record is from RNAcentral.
UACGAAGGGGGCUAGCGUUGCUCGGAAUCACUGGGCGUAAAGCGCACGUAGGCGGAUUGCUAAGUCGGGGGUGAAAUCCUGGAGCUCAACUCCAGAACUGCCUUUGAUACUGGCGACCUUGAGUCCGGGAGAGGUGAGUGGAACUGCGAGUGUAGAGGUGAAAUUCGUAGAUAUUCGCAAGAACACCAGUGGCGAAGGCGGCUCACUGGCCCGGUACUGACGCUGAGGUGCGAAAGCGUGGGGAGCAAACAGG